GCAGGACAAUAUCUGGGUAUGGUAGACCCUCAAACAAUUAAUGGAAAGAAGAAAAAAUCACAGCUACUCAAAAAAUAAUUCUUGUAGGGUGAAGCUUACCCGUUUGAAACAGAAGAGACUUAAAAGAGACCAAGAACCUGAAAAUAUGGCAAGUUAGCCUCUUUUUCCAAAAUUUUUCUGGGCAAGGAGGCUUGAAAGAGAGAGAAAAAAAAAAAAGAAAACAU
Molecule: unclassified non-coding RNA, 224 nt
Filed under: Hevea brasiliensis (rubber tree)
Lineage: Eukaryota; Viridiplantae; Streptophyta; Magnoliopsida; Malpighiales; Euphorbiaceae
Source: RNAcentral